This 405-nucleotide ribosomal RNA is filed under the name uncultured bacterium. RNAcentral describes it as "partial 16S ribosomal RNA". It matches the Rfam family "Bacterial small subunit ribosomal RNA", at positions 30 to 526 of the family's 1533-position model. The record is from RNAcentral.
AUUGAACGCUGGCGGCAGGCUUAACACAUGCAAGUCGAACGAGUGGCGGACGGGUGAGUAAUGCUUGGGAAUCUGGCUUAUGGAGGGGGAUAACGACGGGAAACUGUCGCUAAUACCGCGUACCAUAGCAUGAGCCCAAGUGGGAUUAGGUAGUUGGGGGGGUAAUGGCCUACAAAGCCGACGAUCACUAGCUGGUCUGAGAGGAUGAACAGCAACACCGGGACUGAGACACGGCCCGGACUCCUACGGGAGGCAGAAGUGGGGAAUAUUGCGCAAUGGGGGCAACCUGACGAAGCAAUGCCGCGUGAAUGAAGAAGGCCUUCGGGUUGUAAAGUUCUUUCGGUGACGAGGCGUUAAUCACAGAAGAAGCACCGGCGAACUACGUGCCAGCAGCCGCGGUAAUUC